RNAcentral lists this ribosomal RNA (480 nucleotides) under uncultured bacterium. RNAcentral's name for it is "partial 16S ribosomal RNA". It matches the Rfam family "Bacterial small subunit ribosomal RNA", at positions 28 to 523 of the family's 1533-position model. The record is from RNAcentral.
GAUGAACGCUGGCGGCGUGCUUAACACAUGCAAGUCGAGCGAUGAAGCACCUUCGGGUGUGGAUUAGCGGCGAACGGGUGAGGAACACGUGAGGAAUCUGCCUUCCACUUCGGGAUAACUCCGGGAAACCGGGGCUAAUACCGGAUAUUUUCAACUGGCGGCAUCGCCGGUUGAAGAAAGUUUUUCGGUGAAAGAUGACCUCGCGGCCUAUCAGCUUGUCGGUGAGGUAAUGGCUCACCAAGGCGACGACGGGUAGCCGGCCUGAGAGGGCGACCGGCCACACGGGGACUGAGACACGGCCCAGACUCCUACGGGAGGCAGCAGUGGGGAAUAUUGGGCAAUGGAGGAAACUCUGACCCAGCGACGCCGCGUGAGGGAUGAAGGCCUUCGGGUUGUAAACCUCUUUCAGCAGGGUAUAAGCGAAAAUGAAGGUACCUGCAGAAGAAGCACCGGCUAACUAUGUGCCAGCAGCCGCCGUAA